RNAcentral lists this ribosomal RNA (371 nucleotides) under uncultured organism. Its description in RNAcentral is "partial 16S ribosomal RNA". It matches the Rfam family "Bacterial small subunit ribosomal RNA", at positions 527 to 896 of the family's 1533-position model. The record is from RNAcentral.
GGAGAGUGCAAGCGUUAAUCGGAAUUACUGGGCGUAAAGCGCGCGUAGGUGGGUGCUUAAGUCGGAUGUGAAAGCCCUAGGCUUAACCUAGGAAUUGCAUUCGAUACUGGGUACCUAGAGUAUAGUAGAGGGAAGUGGAAUUUCCGGUGUAGCGGUGAAAUGCGUAGAUAUCGGAAGGAACACCAGUGGCGAAAGCGGCUUCCUGGACUAAUACUGACACUGAGGUGCGAAAGCGUGGGGAGCAAACAGGAUUAGAGACCCUGGUAGUCCACGCUGUCAACGAUGAGAACUAGAUGUUGGGGGGGGUUGCCCCCUUAGUAUCGAAGCUAACGCGUUAAGUUCUCCGCCUGGGGAGUACGGCCGCAAGGUUA